UACGUAGGGUGCGAGCGUUAAUCGGAAUUACUGGGCGUAAAGCGUGCGCAGGCGGUUUUGUAAGACAGAUGUGAAAUCCCCGGGCUUAACCUGGGAACUGCGUUUGUGACUGCAAGGCUGGAGUGCGGCAGAGGGGGAUGGAAUUCCGCGUGUAGCAGUGAAAUGCGUAGAUAUGCGGAGGAACACCGAUGGCGAAGGCAAUCCCCUGGGCCUGCACUGACGCUCAUGCACGAAAGCGUGGGGAGCAAACAGG
Molecule: ribosomal RNA, 253 nt
Filed under: uncultured bacterium
Lineage: Bacteria
Description: partial 16S ribosomal RNA
Rfam family: Bacterial small subunit ribosomal RNA
Source: RNAcentral